AGGACGAACGCUGGCGGCGUGCUUAACACAUGCAAGUCGAGCGAGGCCCGUCCUUCGGGACGGUGCCCUAGCGGCGAACGGGUGAGUAACACGUGGGCAACCUGCCCCUAGCACUGGGAUAACUCCGGGAAACCGGGGCUAAUACCGGAUAUGACCUCCGAGGGCAUCCUUGGUGGUGUAAAGGAUUCUGGCUAGGGAUGGGCCCGCGGCCUAUCAGCUUGUUGGUGGGGUAACGGCCUACCAAGGCGACGACGGGUA
Molecule: ribosomal RNA, 258 nt
Filed under: uncultured bacterium
Lineage: Bacteria
Description: partial small subunit ribosomal RNA
Rfam family: Bacterial small subunit ribosomal RNA
Source: RNAcentral